RNAcentral lists this long non-coding RNA (226 nucleotides) under Pan troglodytes (chimpanzee). RNAcentral's name for it is "long non-coding RNA NONPTRT015690". The record is from RNAcentral. Lineage: Eukaryota; Metazoa; Chordata; Mammalia; Primates; Hominidae.
GUUGAAACUUUUGGCUUUCGGGGGGAAGCUCUGAGCUCACUUUGUGCACUGAGCGAUGUCACCAUUUCUACCUGCCACGUAUCGGCGAAGGUUGGGACUCGACUGGUGUUUGAUCACGAUGGGAAAAUCAUCCAGAAAACCCCCUACCCCCACCCCAGAGGGAUGACAGUCAGCGUGAAGCAGUUAUUUUCUACGCUACCUCUGCACCAUAAAGAAUUUCAAAGGA